GGCGGCACCGGAAUUUGCUGAAGCUUUGAAUGAAGAUAACAAUGUUGGAGCCAUGCUGUUCAAUAUUAAGGUCAAUGGACAGGUUAGAUGGAAAGUCGGGAGCUGGAUUUCGGGCAGAUAUCGGCUAAACGCGAACUGCCCGGCGUAUAUAAAGUUUGGUGAUCCAAAGAAUGGAAUUGCUUUCGGACCCGCCAUGAAGUUUCAGUUCGUUCAGGGCUGUUAUGUUGAUAUUUGAGAUCUCUCAAAGUCCCCUUUAUUUGUACUUCUUUUUCUUUUUCCAUGUUCCUUAAAAAGUAUCUGUUAACGUAGUUGCCAACAGCAAUGAAAACUAAUAGAAUUAUAGUUAUUCUUGAUUAUUUUGUUACUA
Cucumis sativus (cucumber) is the source of this 367-nucleotide long non-coding RNA. RefSeq lists it as uncharacterized. The record is from RefSeq and is a predicted model, not a curated record. The transcript has 2 exons. Lineage: Eukaryota; Viridiplantae; Streptophyta; Magnoliopsida; Cucurbitales; Cucurbitaceae.